UCGGUUAGUCGGCACGAGCGCACCUCGUCCUUAGUUGCCAUCGGGUAAUGCCGGGGACUCUAAGGAGACAAUCUUCCUCAGGAAGAGGGAAGGUGGGGAUGACGUCAAGUCAGUAUGGCCCUUACGCCUAGGGCUGCACACGUGCUACAAUGCCCGGUACAAUGAGACGCAAAACUGCAAGGUGGAGCCAAUCUAUAAAACCGGGCCCAGUUCGGAUUGGAGUCUGCAACUCGACUCCAUGAAGUUGGAAUCGCUAGUAACGGCGUAUCAGCAACGACGCCGUGAAUACGUUCCCGGGCCUUGUACACACCGCCCGUCAAGUCAUGAAAGUCGGUUCUGCCCGAAAUGCGUGAGCUAAUCUUCGGAAGGCAGCGCCCUAAGGUAGGGCUGGUGAUUGGGACUAAGUCGUAACAAGGUAGCCGUAGGGGAACCUGCGGCUGGAACACCUCCUUUCU
Molecule: ribosomal RNA, 455 nt
Filed under: uncultured bacterium
Lineage: Bacteria
Description: bacterial SSU rRNA
Rfam family: Bacterial small subunit ribosomal RNA
Source: RNAcentral